RNAcentral lists this ribosomal RNA (235 nucleotides) under uncultured bacterium. RNAcentral's name for it is "partial 16S ribosomal RNA". It matches the Rfam family "Bacterial small subunit ribosomal RNA", at positions 100 to 334 of the family's 1533-position model. The record is from RNAcentral.
CGGCACGGGUGAGUAACACGUAUCCAACCUGCCGUCUACUCUUGGACAGCCUUCUGAAAGGAAGAUUAAUACAAGAUGGCAUCAUGAGUCCGCAUGUUCACAUGAUUAAAGGUAUUCCGGUAGACGAUGGGAUGCGUUCCAUUAGAUAGUAGGCGGGGUAACGGCCCACCUAGUCUUCGAUGGAUAGGGGUUCUGAGAGGAAGGUCCCCCACAUUGGAACUGAGACACGGUCCAA